AAAGUCGUAACAAGGUUUCCGUAGGUGAACCUGCGGAAGGAUCAUUAUCGUGGGGCUUCGGCCCUCUCGAGAUAGAACCCUUGCCUUUUUGAGUACUUACGUUUCCUCGGCGGGUUCGCCCGCCGAUUGGACAAUUUAAACCAUUUGCAGUUGCAAUCAGCGUCUGAAAAACAUAAUAGUUACAACUUUCAACAACGGAUCUCUUGGUUCUG
Molecule: unclassified non-coding RNA, 212 nt
Filed under: Ascomycota sp.
Lineage: Eukaryota; Fungi; Ascomycota
Description: partial contains small subunit ribosomal RNA, internal transcribed spacer 1, and 5.8S ribosomal RNA
Rfam family: Eukaryotic small subunit ribosomal RNA (bases 1-47)
Source: RNAcentral